RNAcentral lists this ribosomal RNA (627 nucleotides) under uncultured Salinisphaera sp. Its description in RNAcentral is "bacterial SSU rRNA". It matches the Rfam family "Bacterial small subunit ribosomal RNA", at positions 342 to 974 of the family's 1533-position model. Lineage: Bacteria; Pseudomonadati; Pseudomonadota; Gammaproteobacteria; Salinisphaerales; Salinisphaeraceae. The record is from RNAcentral.
CGGGAGGCGCCGUGGGAAUUUGACAUGGGGCAAGCUUAUCCAGCCUUCCGGGGUGGAGAAGGCCUUAGGUUGUAAGCACUUAACCGGAAAGAAAAGCGCCGGUUAAUACCCCGAGCGUAUGACGGUACCUGCAGAAUAAGCACCGGCUAACUCCGUGCCCAGCAGCCGCGGUAAUACGGAGGGGUGCGAGCGUUAAUCGGAAUUACUGGGGCGUAAAGCGAGUGCAGGCGGUUGCGUGUGUCGGGUGUGAAAGCCCCGGGCUUAACCUGGGAAUGGCAUCCGAAACUGCGUAACUAGAAUAUGGUAGAGGAAGACGGAAUUCCACGUGUAGCGGUGAAAUGCGUAGAUAUGUGGAGGAACACCAAUGGCGAAGGCAGUCUUCUGGGCCUAUAUUGACGCUGAGGCUCGAAAGCGUGGGUAGCAAACAGGAUUAGAUACCCUGGUAGUCCACGCCGUAAACGAUGAGAACUAGACGUUGGUUGACAUAGUCGAUCAGUGUCGCAGCAAACGCGUUAAGUUCUCCGCCUGGGGAGUACGGCCGCAAGGUUGAAACUCAAAGGAAUUGACGGGGGCCCGCACAAGCGGUGGAGCAUGUGGUUUAAUUCGAUGCAACGCGAAGAACCUUAC